RNAcentral lists this ribosomal RNA (460 nucleotides) under uncultured bacterium. RNAcentral describes it as "partial 16S ribosomal RNA". It matches the Rfam family "Bacterial small subunit ribosomal RNA", at positions 338 to 795 of the family's 1533-position model. The record is from RNAcentral.
CCUACGGGAGGCAGCAGUGAGGAAUAUUGGUCAAUGGCCGGAAGGCUGAACCAGCCAUGCCGCGUGAAGGUCAGUGCCCUAUGGGCGUUAAACUUCUUUUGUGCGGGAGCAAUAAUGGUCACGUGUGACCAGACGAGAGUACCGUACGAAUAAGCAUCGGCUAACUCCGUGCCAGCAGCCGCGGUAAUACGGGGGAUGCAAGCGUUAUCCGGAUUUAUUGGGUUUAAAGGGUGCGUAGGCUGUGAGGUAAGUCAGCGGUGAAAUGCCCCCGCUCAACGGGGUGAAGUGCCAUUGAUACUGCCUGGCUGGAAUGCGGAUGCCGUGGGAGGAAUGUGUGGUGUAGCGGUGAAAUGCAUAGAUAUCACACAGAACACCGAUUGCGAAGGCAUCUCACGAAUCCGCGAUUGACGCUGAUGCACGAAAGCGUGGGUAUCAAACAGGAUUAGAUACCCGGGUAGUC